Molecule: transfer RNA, 74 nt
Filed under: Bacteroidota bacterium
Lineage: Bacteria; Pseudomonadati; Bacteroidota
Also listed under: 1 other name
Description: tRNA-Ile
Rfam family: tRNA
About the family: Transfer RNA (tRNA) molecules are approximately 80 nucleotides in length.
Source: RNAcentral
GGGCCCUUAGCUCAGUUGGUUAGAGCAGCGGACUCAUAAUCCGCCGGUCGCAGGUUCGAGUCCUGCAGGGCCCA